GCUCGGGGUGGGAGCGAGCAGCUCGGGGCUGGGGCCCGACCCCGGACCCCGGACCCCGGACCCAGGACCCGCGCCGGGCCGGGGAGACGCUCUCACCGCGGAGAAGCGCCCGGGACGCUGGCCGCUCUCCGCCUCCUCCCUGGCAGACUGCGGCCACUGGAGCCCACGCGCGAUCCCAAUGUAGGCCGGCUUGCGGCCGGCACACACUGAGGAAAGAAUUUGAUGAGGGAUUGCUGGCACGCAGUGCCCUCACAGAGACCAAGGUUCAAGCAGUUGGUAGAAGACUUUUUUUUUAAUAAAAAAAGAAUUUGAUAAA
Long non-coding RNA from Heterocephalus glaber (naked mole-rat), 316 nucleotides. RefSeq lists it as uncharacterized. NCBI's taxonomy places the organism in Eukaryota, Metazoa, Chordata, Mammalia, Rodentia, Bathyergidae. The record is from RefSeq and is a predicted model, not a curated record.